Molecule: ribosomal RNA, 447 nt
Filed under: uncultured bacterium
Lineage: Bacteria
Description: bacterial SSU rRNA
Rfam family: Bacterial small subunit ribosomal RNA
Source: RNAcentral
GGCCAGACUCCUACGGGAGGCAGCAGUGGGGGAUAUUGCACAAUGGGGGGAACCCUGAUGCAGCGACGCCGCGUGGGUGAAGGAGUGCUUCGGCAUGUAAAGCCCUAUCGGCAGGGAAGAAGCAAGACGGUACCUGACUAAGAAGCCCCGGCUAACUACGUGCCAGCAGCCGCGGGAAUACGUAGGGGGGGAGCGUUAUCCGGAUUCACUGGGUGUAAAGGGAGCGUAGACGGCCAUGCAAGCCAGGGGUGAAAGCCCGGGGCCCAACCCCGGGACUGCCCUUGGAACUGCAUGGCUGGAGUGCGGGAGGGGCAGGCGGAAUUCCUGGUGUAGCGGUGAAAUGCGUAGAUAUCAGGAGGAACACCGGCGGCGAAGGCGGCUCUCUGGACUGUAACUGACACUGAGGCACGAAAGCGUGGGGAGCAAACGGGAUUAGAUACCCCGGUA